AUUCCAAAUGAUACCAGUGACCAUGUAUACAGGAGUAACUCUGUCUGCUUAAGCAUGUAAACGGGUUAUUCCUAAUGAUUCAGAAACCGGAAUAUUGACCUUAACCCGAAUAAUACACAGGAUGUAAAUGUAGUCAGUCUGUUUGCAAGAUUUGAAUAGACAUGUGUGUCACCAGAUUUGAACAAUGGA
Long non-coding RNA from Thalassophryne amazonica, 189 nucleotides. RefSeq lists it as uncharacterized. The transcript is spliced from 4 exons. Lineage: Eukaryota; Metazoa; Chordata; Actinopteri; Batrachoidiformes; Batrachoididae. The record is from RefSeq and is a predicted model, not a curated record.